RNAcentral lists this ribosomal RNA (615 nucleotides) under uncultured bacterium. RNAcentral's name for it is "bacterial SSU rRNA". It matches the Rfam family "Bacterial small subunit ribosomal RNA", at positions 80 to 691 of the family's 1533-position model. The record is from RNAcentral.
UAAGGCUGAUGGCGACCGGCGCACGGGUGAGUAACACGUAUGCAACCUGCCGUCUACUCUUGGCCAGCCUUCUGAAAGGAGGAUUAAUCCAGGAUGGGAUCAUGAGUUCACAUGUCCGCAUGAUUAAAGGUAUUUUCCGGUAGACGAUGGGGAUGCGUUCCAUUAGAUAGUAGGCGGGGUAACGGCCCACCUAGUCAACGAUGGAUAGGGGUUCUGAGAGGAAGGUCCCCCACAUUGGAACUGAGACACGGUCCAAACUCCUACGGGAGGCAGCAGUGAGGAAUAUUGGUCAAUGGGCGAUGGCCUGAACCAGCCAAGUAGCGUGAAGGAUGACUGCCCUAUGGGUUGUAAACUUCUUUUAUAAAGGAAUAAAGUCGGGUAUGCAUACCCGUUUGCAUGUACUUUAUGAAUAAGGAUCGGCUAACUCCGUGCCAGCAGCCGCGGUAAUACGGAGGAUCCGAGCGUUAUCCGGAUUUAUUGGGUUUAAAGGGAGCGUAGAUGGAUGUUUAAGUCAGUUGUGAAAGUUUGCGGCUCAACCGUAAAAUUGCAGUUGAUACUGGAUGUCUUGAGUGCAGUUGAGGCAGGCGGAAUUCGUGGUGUAGCGGUGAAAUGCUU